AAGGAGACAGUUGGCGGAGUCUUGAGGCCGCUGCCGGAAAGGGGGAGGAUCGAGCCGGCGGCUGCGACGCCGGCCUGCGCUAAGCCUCUCGCCCGCCCUUGCCUCUUACCGCAUGGUGCCGGCUUCUCGCUAAGCUGGGGCGGCGAGGCGAGAGGGACGCACUGCCGGGGCGGCUCGGAGUCGAGGCUUCCCGUCGCCCGCACUUCCUCCUGUGGCGCCCGUGCGUGGCCGCCUCGGCCAGCGGGAUGGCGGCGGCGGCCCGGGGGAGUGGCCGCGCAUCGGCGCCCCGGCUGCUUCUGCUUCUGCUGCUAGCGCUGCUGUGGGCCCCGGCCGGCGUCCGCGCUGUGCCGGACGAAGACCUUAGCCUUCGGAAGAAGGAACCGCCGGCGCCCGCCCAGCAGCUGCAGCCGCAGCCGGCGGCCGUGCAGGGCCCCGAGCCUGUCCGGGCCGAGAAAGGAUUUACACCAGCUGCCCCGGUUCAUUCCAAUAAAGAAGAUCCAGCUACCCAGACAAAUUUGGGAUUUAUCCAUGCAUUUGUCGCUGCCAUAUCAGUUAUCAUUGUAUCUGAGCUGGGUGAUAAGACAUUUUUCAUAGCCGCCAUCAUGGCCAUGCGCUAUAACCGUCUGACGGUGUUGGCUGGGGCCAUGCUUGCCCUGGGCCUGAUGACGUGCUUAUCAGUUUUGUUCGGCUAUGCCACCACAGUCAUCCCCAGGGUGUAUACGUACUAUGUUUCCACUGCAUUAUUUGCCAUUUUUGGCAUUAGAAUGCUUCGAGAAGGCUUAAAGAUGAGUCCAGAUGAGGGUCAAGAGGAACUGGAAGAAGUUCAAGCAGAAUUAAAGAAAAAGGAUGAAGAAUUUCAACGAACUAAACUCUUAAAUGGACCAGGAGAUGUUGAAACGGGUGCAAGCACGACAAUACCCCAGAAGAGAUGGCUGCAUUUUAUCUCCCCCAUCUUCGUUCAGGCUCUCACACUGACAUUCUUAGCCGAAUGGGGUGAUCGCUCCCAACUAACUACGAUUGUUCUGGCAGCCAGAGAGGACCCGUAUGGCGUAGCAGUGGGUGGGACAGUGGGCCACUGCUUAUGCACCGGACUAGCAGUCAUCGGAGGAAGAAUGAUAGCCCAAAAAAUCUCUGUCAGAACCGACCAGAAAGGAGAAUUCCCUGUUAGAAAGUAGCUGGUGCCAUCACAACCCCGACUGGCAGUGCAGGCAGCCUGGCCCAAGAACUAGCUUAAUGCGGGGCUAACAGACAGCAUAGCUUUCUUGAGGCUCUACCACCUUGUACCAGGACAGUACUACUACUACUACAAGAAUUUGGCAGUUCCGACACGAAGCUACGAGGAAUAUCAAGAUCAUAUAUAGAAAACAUUGACAGGUAAUUCUUAACUGUUCAGCUUUAAAGGAAGAUGCUGAUUUAGGAAACAAUUUUGUGAUCACAUCAAUGACUCUGAUAGUGUCAGGAUGUCACCUUGUAUUUAUUUCUAAGUUACUUGUACCUCCAGUCCAAGAGACUCAAAGCAGUCUUCGUGGAAACUUAGGAGAAUCAUAAUGGCACUGACACCCACAUGCUGUUAAAAAUGUACUAAGGUUUCAAAACUGCUACUGAAACCAGACAAUGAAUUCAAGAUGGUGAGUUAUCACCUGAAUCAAAAUCAAGGCACUAUGGGUUUUUUUUUUCCCCUCAAAUAACCCUGAAUCAUUUCUGACUAAAAGAAGCAUUGAAAUUGUGAAGGAUAAUAAAAAGAUUCCAACAAAUCCUAAAAGUUAAAAUUCCCACCAGUGAGAAUGUUAAAAAGUGCCUAAAAUCUUUUGUGUGCAAAUUUUACUCCUAUAACUGAAACAUUCUUGAAAUUACUUCCAGGCUUAUUGAAAACCGUUUACACAACUAUUUCCAACUAUGAACUAUAUAUCAAAAUAUGUGACCAAAACUUCCAACCAUCUAAAAUAAAGCAGUGCAAAUCCUAUUUUCAAACAUAAAUGAAAAAUAAUGAAAUAAAGGAUAUUUCUGAGUAA
Molecule: RNA transcript, 2012 nt
Organism: Herpailurus yagouaroundi (jaguarundi)
Lineage: Eukaryota; Metazoa; Chordata; Mammalia; Carnivora; Felidae
Gene: TMEM165
Gene name: transmembrane protein 165
Exons: 7
Source: RefSeq, a predicted model, not a curated record